Molecule: long non-coding RNA, 993 nt
Organism: Anneissia japonica
Lineage: Eukaryota; Metazoa; Echinodermata; Crinoidea; Comatulida; Comatulidae
Exons: 4
Source: RefSeq, a predicted model, not a curated record
UAUAGCGCCAAUUUCAACUAUACCGAAGUAAAAAUCAAAGGCGCUUAACAUUUAGAUGGUAAAAAGGUGCGUCUUAAGUUUUGUCUUAAAAAUAGCAACUGACGGUGAUUGGAUAAUAUGUUUGGGCAAUGAGUUCCAAAGGGAUGCUGCUGAAAAUGAAUAUGAUCUAGAACCAAAGGUUUUGGUGUUAAUCCUAGGAACAACUAAAAGAUUUUUAUCAGAAGAACGGAGACAAGUAGGUGGGGCAUACGCAUGAAUGAGUUCAACAAGGAAGAUCUAGAUGCUCUUAUUAAUUGGUGUAAUCAGUGGUCUAUGUCUGCCAAUGCCUCCAAAUGUAAAACUACGUCUAUUACUCUAAAGAAGAAACCUAUUAUGUAUAAUUUUGAUAUUAAUGCUGUAACACUUGGAAGAGUCACUGUUCACCAAGACUUUGUAUGGCGACACUCCAUUUCACGAAUUGUUGGAAAGUGACCAUGAAUACCAAGUUCACCUGGACGGAACCCACACCUUGUUACAUUCUGGAACUGUGGAGCUUGUUAACACAUUUCCAUAGCUCUACGUCACUUACAUAGGCCUAUAAACUUGGACUUCUACGCACUCUAAUAGACCCGUCUCAGGUCAAAUCUACCGAUCCAUCAAUAAGUGUGAAGUCGAUGUACAAUUAUCGUCAGCGGAACACGAUGUGUAUUAAAUUGCCGGAACACAAGAUGCUAUUAAUAGCCGGAUAUGGUCUUAAUUUUACAAAUAAUCGCGCGCGGGUGUCUAUUAGGAUUUAUAUCACUGGAUCGCCGGAAUUGAAUCAAAUUUGCCAAUUAUGUUUCUUAUACAACGAACAAUUAAUUCUCGAACGAUAUUACAUAGGCCUACUUCAAUAUAAUUAGGCCUAGCAUUAUAUAUAUAUAUUAUAUUAUAUUAUUUAAAUCUAUAAUCUAGUUAUAUUAGUUUAUAUAGUUCUUGUGUAACAUUUCCGAGUACGUAAGAAAUAAAAGUAAA